This 468-nucleotide ribosomal RNA is filed under the name uncultured bacterium. Its description in RNAcentral is "partial 16S ribosomal RNA". It matches the Rfam family "Bacterial small subunit ribosomal RNA", at positions 28 to 507 of the family's 1533-position model. The record is from RNAcentral.
GACGAACGCUGGCGGCGUGCUUAACACAUGCAAGUCGAACGGAAAGGCCCUGCUCUUGUGGGGUGCUCGAGUGGCGAACGGGUGAGUAUCACGUGAGUAACCUGCCCUUGACUUUGGGGUAACAUAAGGAAACUGGGGCUAUUACCGCAUAUAAGCUCCUGCUGCAUGGUGUGGGUUGGAAAGUUUCGGCGGUUGGGGAUGGACUCGCGGCUUAUCAGCUUGUUGGUGGGGUAGUGGCUUACCAAGGCUUUGACGGGUAGCCGGCCUGAGAGGGUGACCGGCCACAUUGGGACUGAGAUAGGGCCCAGACUCCUACGGGAGGCAGCAGUGGGGAAUAUUGCACAAUAGGCGGAAGCCUGAUACAGCAACGCCGCGUGCGGGAUGACGGCCUGCGGGUUGUAAACCGCUUUCGCCUGUGACGAAGCGUGAGUGACGGUAAUGGGUAAAGAAGCACCGGCUAACUACGUG